This 253-nucleotide ribosomal RNA is filed under the name uncultured bacterium. RNAcentral's name for it is "partial 16S ribosomal RNA". It matches the Rfam family "Bacterial small subunit ribosomal RNA", at positions 524 to 776 of the family's 1533-position model. The record is from RNAcentral.
UACGAAAGGUGCUAGCGUUGUCCGGAAUUACUGGGUGUAAAGGGCACGUAGGCGGCUCUGUAAGUUGGGGGUGAAAUCCCGGAGCUCAACUGCGGAACUGCCUUUGAUACUGCAGAGCUUGAGUAUGGUUGAGGUGGGUGGAAUUGGGAGUGUAGAGGUGAAAUGCAUAGAUAUCCGGAAGAACACCGAUUGCGAAGGCGGCUUGCUGGGCCAUUACUGACGCUGAGGCACGAAAGCGUGGGGAGCAAACAGG